This is a long non-coding RNA of Salarias fasciatus (jewelled blenny), 336 nucleotides long. RefSeq lists it as uncharacterized. The transcript has 3 exons. The record is from RefSeq and is a predicted model, not a curated record. NCBI's taxonomy places the organism in Eukaryota, Metazoa, Chordata, Actinopteri, Blenniiformes, Blenniidae.
CCCAUUUUCCAGCUGUCCGUCAGCCUCAGUCGGUCGGGAUUUUGGAUCCGUCGGAGAGGCUUUGUGGACAUACAUCUGCGCAUUUCGGGACAGAAUACCACGUUCCGUGGUGAAAUAAACAGGCGAAAAGCGACAGUGAGCGGUAUUCCAGGAUGGAGGCCGAGCUAUGAGGUGUGGCGUCGUUCAGAAGACUGAGUGAACCAUGGCGGCGUUCCCCCCCCCCUUCACAGGUCCAGAUGUGUUUCUGAUCUCAGUGGACGAGCGAGCCAAACAUGACCAGCAGUUCCACAGCCUCUCUCCCACGGCCGGGGGCUACAUCACAGGUAGGAGUCCUGG